ACUAACAUGUAAAUAUUGGACUCCACGUUGUCGCAACAAAAAAGCAAUGUUAUUAUGCAUAUCAAGAGACACGGUAGUGGCUCGCGCCAAGUGAAAGCGCAGCGCGAGCCCGACCGUGCUCUUUACGCGAGUACGCGACUUGCGAGCACUCGAGAUUAUUGAAUCUCAGAAACGGUUAAAUCGAUCGAGUUUCUAAGUAAGCUCAAUCGAAAGCUUGGGGUCGAUUUAUAUUAGAAAACUAUUUUUAUUUUUUCUCUACAUGUCCUAUGAAUGGAGAUAUCGCGACGCAAAGUCCAAAAAGCCAAAAUUUCAUUUAAGAUACGUCGUCGUCAUCGUCAACCUUGUUGGUAUCUCUGCGGGUAGUGCGGGUGCCGAAAAUGAGGGACGAAAAUCCAUUUCGCUCAUCUACUACCGUGUGGCGUUCGCAUCGUCACUAUAGCACCGUAUAUGGCAAUGUAUAAGUCACGUGGUCACCAGUGGCUCGCUCGCGCCGUGAAUUAGUUGUGUGAAGAUGAUAGGUUAUAUAUGAGGUCACAUAAGUUGCUUCGGCCACAGGUCAGCUCCUGUCAAGUGACAUGUGUAGUGGAGGUUAAAUUAUUUAUUUAAUGAUUUUAAUCAUUGACACCAAUAUAAAUUAAUUAAUUUCAGAGAGUAACAUAGCUCAGAUUUAUCGAUGAGGUAGAUGAGAUGUUGCGUGAUGUAAAAUGUGUAAUUAUUGUUGUAAUUUCAAUGAUAAUGUUGUAAGGAUAAUAAAGUAAAGAAUAAAAAUAGUAUAUUGAUUGAUUGACAAUUACAGCAACAUUUAUCCAAUACACAAUUCUUCUACAUCAUACAAUAUUUCAUCUCUCAUCGACACUAAUAUAAAAUUACAGAGCUAUUUUAUUUUUAAUUUUAACCGGUCACAUAAGUUGCUCUGGCCACAGGUCAGCUCCUGUUAAGUGACAUGUGUAGUGGAGGUUAAAUCAUUUAUUUAAUGAUUUUUAACAUCUCAUCUAUUUAAUCAUCGUUCAUUAAGAUUUUCCACUUGUGUCGAUGAAAUAAAUGAGAUUGACACAAAUGUAAAAUUAAAUAAUCAGAGAAUAACAUAGCUCAGAUUUUAUACUGGUGUUGAUGAGGUAGAUGAGAUGUUGCAUGAUGUAGAAAAUGUGUAUUAUUGCUGUAAUUGUCAAUCAUGUUAUAAGGAUAAGAACUAUCAUCAUCACCAAGGUAUUACUUUUGUCACCAAGAUACAAUUAUAUGUUACUAGUAAAGAAUAAAAUAGUAUUGUUAAAACCAUUUAUUUGAUUUGAAAUUUUGUUAGAUAAUUAAUAUUGAUUGACAAUUACAGCAACAUUUAACCAAUACACAAAUCUUCUACAUCAUACAUCUCAUUUCUCAUCGAUACUAAUGUAAAAUCAGAGAGCUAUUUUAUUUUAAUAAUCGGUUACGUAGGUUGCCCGGGCCACGGGUCAGCCCGUGUCAAGUGACAUAUGUAGUAUUGGUUAAAUCAUUUAUUUAAUGAUUUUUCAGGAAAUAUAUUAUUUAAAUUAAAUUAGUGACCAAACAUAAUUACCUUUUUAAAUAAAAAUGUAAAAAGGGCUCCAAGUGUGUGGGCUUCUUUAAGGGAAGACAGAAAUUCAAGAUAAUCGUUUUCAUCAAAUUCAACUUAGGCAUGGUUCCAAAACAUGCUCUAAAGAAAAAUUUUAUUUAAAAAUUUAUAGUAUUAUAUCCGUUAUAUAAACUUUAACUUCUUAGUAAAAUUUUUCUCAAAGAGAAAGUUUUAGAGUGUAACCUUAAGUGGUCUAUAAAACUAAGUAGUUUAUAAAAAAA
RNAcentral lists this long non-coding RNA (1809 nucleotides) under Monomorium pharaonis (pharaoh ant). RNAcentral's name for it is "uncharacterized LOC118647658". The record is from RNAcentral. Lineage: Eukaryota; Metazoa; Arthropoda; Insecta; Hymenoptera; Formicidae.